UGCUCUGUGGAUCAGUGGCGAACGGGUGAGUAACACGUGAGCAAUCUGCCCCUGACUCUGGGAUAAGCGCUGGAAACGGCGUCUAAUACCGGAUACGAGCUGCGACCGCAUGGUCAGUAGCUGGAAAGAAUUUCGGUCAGGGAUGAGCUCGCGGCCUAUCAGCUUGUUGGUGAGGUAAUGGCUCACCAAGGCGUCGACGGGUAGCCGGCCUGAGAGGGUGACCGGCCACACUGGGACUGAGACACGGCCCAGACUCCUACGGGAGGCAGCAGUGGGGAAUAUUGCACAAUGGGCGAAAGCCUGAUGCAGCAACGCCGCGUGAGGGAUGACGGCCUUCGGGUUGUAAACCUCUUUUAGCAGGGAAGAAGCGAAAGUGACGGUACCUGCAGAAAAAGCGCCGGCUAACUACGUGCCAGCAGCCGCGGUAAUACGUAGGGCGCAAGCGUUAUCCGGAAUUAUUGGGCGUAAAGAGCUCGUAGGCGGUCUGUCGCGUCUGCUGUGAAAACCCGAGGCUCAACCUCGGGCCUGCAGUGGGUACGGGCAGACUAGAGUGCGGUAGGGGAGAUUGGAAUUCCUGGUGUAGCGGUGGAAUGCGCAGAUAUCAGGAGGAACACCGAUGGCGAAGGCAGAUCUCUGGGCCGUAACUGACGCUGAGGAGCGAAAGGGUGGGGAGCAAACAGGCUUAGAUACCCUGGUAGUCCACCCCGUAAACGUUGGGAACUAGUUGUGGGGUCCAUUCCACGGAUUCCGUGACGCAGCUAACGCAUUAAGUUCCCCGCCUGGGGAGUACGGCCGCAAGGCUAAAACUCAAAGGAAUUGACGGGGACCCGCACAAGCGGCGGAGCAUGCGGAUUAAUUCGAUGCAACGCGAAGAACCUUACCAAGGCUUGACAUAUAGAGGAAACGUCUGGAAACAGUCGCCCCGCAAGGUCUCUAUACAGGUGGUGCAUGGUUGUCGUCAGCUCGUGUCGUGAGAUGUUGGGUUAAGUCCCGCAACGAGCGCAACCCUCGUUCUAUGUUGCCAGCACGUAAUGGUGGGAACUCAUGGGA
This 1050-nucleotide ribosomal RNA is filed under the name Microbacterium arborescens. Its description in RNAcentral is "bacterial SSU rRNA". It matches the Rfam family "Bacterial small subunit ribosomal RNA", at positions 81 to 1146 of the family's 1533-position model. Lineage: Bacteria; Bacillati; Actinomycetota; Actinomycetes; Micrococcales; Microbacteriaceae. The record is from RNAcentral.